This 424-nucleotide ribosomal RNA is filed under the name uncultured bacterium. Its description in RNAcentral is "bacterial SSU rRNA". It matches the Rfam family "Bacterial small subunit ribosomal RNA", at positions 917 to 1344 of the family's 1533-position model. The record is from RNAcentral.
GGGCCCGCACAAGCGGUGGAGCAUGUGGUUUAAUUCGAUGAUACGCGAGGAACCUUACCAGGGCUUAAAUGUAGUGGGACAGGUCUAGAGAUAGACCCUUCUUCGGACUCAUUACAAGGUGCUGCAUGGUUGUCGUCAGCUCGUGCCGUGAGGUGUCAGGUUAAGUCCUAUAACGAGCGCAACCCCUGUCGUUAGUUACCAGCAAGUAAAGUUGGGUACUCUAGCGAGACUGCCGGUGCAAACCGAGAGGAAGGUGGGGAUGACGUCAAAUCAUCACGGCCCUUACGUCCUGGGCUACACACGUGCUACAAUGGCCGGUACAGAGAGCAGCCACCACGCGAGUGGGAGCGAAUCUUCAAAGCCGGUCUCAGUUCGGAUCGCAGUCUGCAACUCGACUGCGUGAAGCUGGAAUCGCUAGUAAUCG